UUGGUUCUUCAGGUUUCUCUUCAAAUGCUAGUUCUUCAUGUGUUUCCUUCCCUGCUAGCUCUUCAGGUGUUUCUUUCGCUGUCGGUUCCUUAGGUUUCUCUUCAGCCGUUAGUUCAGGUUUCUCCUCAACCGUUGGUUCUUCAGGUUUCUCUUUAGUCUCUGAUACAUCACGUUUCUCUUCAAAAACUGGGGUUUCAGGUAUUUCUUCAACUGCUGGUUCUCCGGGUUUUUUCGCAGAUUCUGGAUAGUAAGCAGCAUCGUUGUUGGUAUUGGAUGGAAUAUCACUAUCAGUGUUGUCCUUAGUGUCUACAACUAGCAUUUUCUUCUCCAAAAGAGAUACUUUUUUGGGUUUCUCAUCUUCAACUGCUGGUUUCUCCUCAAAUGCUAGGUCCUUCUGUGAUUCUUCCUGUGUUGGUUCUUCAGGUGCUUCUUCAG
RNAcentral lists this unclassified non-coding RNA (435 nucleotides) under Hevea brasiliensis (rubber tree). The record is from RNAcentral. Lineage: Eukaryota; Viridiplantae; Streptophyta; Magnoliopsida; Malpighiales; Euphorbiaceae.